RNAcentral lists this ribosomal RNA (368 nucleotides) under uncultured organism. RNAcentral describes it as "bacterial SSU rRNA". It matches the Rfam family "Bacterial small subunit ribosomal RNA", at positions 526 to 896 of the family's 1533-position model. The record is from RNAcentral.
CGUAGGACGCAAGCGUUAUCCGGAGUUACUGGGCGUAAAGCGCGGGCAGGCGGCUCGAUGCGUCUGAUGUGAAAUCUCCUCGCUCAACGGGGAGAGGCCAUUGGAAACGGUCGAGCUGGAGGGCAGUAGAGGCAGGCGGAAUUCCGGGUGGAGUGGUGAAACGCGUAGAGAUCCGGAGGAACACCAGAGGCGAAGGCGGCCUGCUGGGCUGCACCUGACGCUGAGCCGCGAAAGCCAGGGGAGCGAACGGGAUUAGGAACCCCGGUAGUCCUGGCCGUAAACGAUGUGUGCUGGAUGAUGGCCCGAACGGGUCGUUGUCGAAGCUAACGCGAUAAGCACACCGCCUGGGGAGUACGGCCGCAAGGCUA